Molecule: unclassified non-coding RNA, 248 nt
Filed under: plant metagenome
Description: partial contains small subunit ribosomal RNA, internal transcribed spacer 1, and 5.8S ribosomal RNA
Source: RNAcentral
UCUCCGUAGGUGAACCUGCGGAGGGAUCAUUACAGAGUUCAUGCCCUACCGGGUAGAUCUCCCACCCUAUGUUAUUAUUACUUUGUUGCUUUGGCGGGCCGUUAGGCUCCGGCCCGACUACCGGCCCCGGCUGGUAAGCGCCCGCCAGAGGACCCAAAACCCUGAAUAUUAGUGUCGUCUGAGUACUAUAUAAUAGUUAAAACUUUCAACAACGGAUCUCUUGGUUCUGGCAUCGAGAAGAACGCAGC